GCGCUAGCAGUCUAGAGGUUUUUGAUAAGAACAUAGCACAGUCAAAAGAUUGUCAUCGUAAUGCAACCAUUCAUAUCUAUAGCCAUAAUCAAAAGUAUCAUAGUCUUCAUAAACUAUCAACAUAAAUAUUUACCUACGUUUACGAGGUUAGUAUAGUUUUAUUGUGUGAUUAAAUUUUUAAUACUUGUCGGUUAAAUUGUCUACUGUACUGUUUUAACUUUUAAUUGUGGUUUUCUUAUUGUAACAAUGACAAGAAUAUGUGUUGUUUGUAAAAAAUUGUAUACUAAGGGAUCAGAGAAAUCAUUUCAUUUUUUUCCUAAAAAUGAAGAUCGUAAACAAUUUUGGUUAAAAGUGUGUAAUAUGAAAUUGUACUUGCCAUCUUACAAGAUAUGUGAUGGUCAUUUUUUGCCGGAACAUUACCUACCAAGUGAAUAUCUCUAAAAUAAUGCUAUUCCUAGCAUCUACUAGUAUAGUUAUUGAACCUUUGGACAAUCAUGAUAUGUCUAGUCCUUGUCAAAGUCCAAUGAAACGUAAGGUGUUGAAUGCCAACUCAAUUGGAGUUUUUAUCACCAAGUCAUUUUAGAACUCUGAGAAAGGCAAAGAGACAUUUGGACAUGGUGAUGAACAAAUAUAGAGAAAAGCAAAUACAAAAUGAAAAAUCUGAAAAACAAAUAAAAAAGGCUGAAAAAAAAACUCAAUGAUGAUUUUGUUCAAACAUGACACCGAAAACAAUUUUUAACUGACAAUGCAUCUGUUCACUUUCAGGUAAAUUGUUGAUCUCUUAUAUACUUUUAUAUUCUUUUUGAAAUGAUAUGAGACCUCGGUGGCUAACUUGUGUACAUGGGUAUGACGCGUGACUUCACUACACAGCAAGCUGUAAUGAUAUGCUCAUAUAUCAUAAUUGUAUAUUUAAUUAUUCUAUAAAAUAAAUAACAGUAAAGUUGUUGCACGCAGAUAACCGUUAAUAAAAUCUAAUAAUCACUGAUGAAGGAAACAAUUUAUAUUGUUUGGUCACAUAGGAACUCACACAUAGUUGUGAAAAUGUAGCACAAAACGUGUGAUCUAUUUUGUGGGCUGUCAGAGACAAGGGAUGGCCCAAUAAGCAUCUCUGUUGUCGGGGAGAAAGCCAAUUUUUUUAAGGACGCGGAGACCUUUGAUGGAGCCACCUGCGACACUGGCAGGCUUGACCACGUCAUCUCCUCUUAUCAGUGCAGGUGCACCGCUCUUUCAAGAGUGCACAGAUAGUAUAAGCUAUAACAUGUAUAUUUUAUUUUAAAAAUACUAUAUGUAUUUUAUAAAUAAUUAUUUAUAUACAUCUUGUAUUGUACUAUCAUAUAAUGUUUACUGUGUUUUAAUAAAUUGUGAAAUUUUACCUACAAUAAUAAAUGUUAAAUAAUUUUAA
Rhopalosiphum maidis (corn leaf aphid) is the source of this 1402-nucleotide long non-coding RNA. RefSeq lists it as uncharacterized. The record is from RefSeq and is a predicted model, not a curated record. Lineage: Eukaryota; Metazoa; Arthropoda; Insecta; Hemiptera; Aphididae. The transcript is spliced from 3 exons.